Molecule: unclassified non-coding RNA, 98 nt
Organism: Cavia porcellus (domestic guinea pig)
Lineage: Eukaryota; Metazoa; Chordata; Mammalia; Rodentia; Caviidae
Rfam family: Y RNA
About the family: Y RNAs are components of the Ro ribonucleoprotein particle (Ro RNP), in association with Ro60 and La proteins. The Y RNAs and Ro60 and La proteins are well conserved, but the function of the Ro RNP is not known.
Source: Ensembl
GGCUGGUCUGAUGGCAGUGGGUUAUCAGAACUUAUUAAUAUUAGUGUCACUAAAGUUGGUAUACCACCCCCCCCACUGCUAAAUUUGACUGGCUUAAA